AACCGUGUGACCCGGUCCGUUCAGGACUAAAGCCGAACGAUGUCAUCCCCUUCCAAUUCUAUCUGAUCCAUGGAUCUCCUUCAUCCAACGGCCCUGAUUCAUUCGUCCAUAUCUGAUAAAAAUGUCUGAAUAUUAGUCUAAACCCUAGAGACAUACAGACGUUUCAUCGUACCCUCUCAUCUUCCUCCUAUUGAACGUGUGACACCGCAGGAGCCCUCGCCGGCAAGAAGCGUAACCUAUGCCGUUGGAAACCAAAUCAACACCAUUGAUACCCCUUCUUCUCCUCAUUCCGACCCCCGCACCAUCAUCUCUCUAAUAUUCCCCCCAGGCCGUCGAAUAUCCAUUUGAAGAUUUUCCGGCCACGACGUAAACUAUUCCAAAUCACUCAAAACUUACAACAUUGACUCUCCUAACUUCCCUCAACCCAAAUCCACAGCCAUUUACCCUCAAAUUAGUCGAUUGGCUCGAAUAUUGGUUCAAAGGUUACCGGGAUCCAGAUGUCUUUGAAAACUACCAAAUUGGCACUACACAGUCUCCCUAUUCUCAUAGCGAAGAAUUGACCCUUCGCGAGGUUCGAAUAUUACCAAGUCCGCUCAUGUUCGGAGUCAACUUUUAGAGCAGUGAGUCCCGUUUCAUUUUUUUCUUCUUCUUCUUUCUUCUUUCUUUUUCGUUGCUUUCCAUUUCUCAGCUUUUAUUGUAUUGUUAAUUUUCAUUUGAAAUGCUUGUAUAGUUUUGUGGAUUUAAGAGGUUCAGCUUAGGAUCGGAUUGUGCUUUCUCAUGUAGGUUAAUUGUCAGUUUGAGUCGCAUUUUAUUUUGUUUUAUCUUAUGUUCUGAGUCGUGUUUGAUUGUUCGGUUGAUAGACUUUAAUUCGCUUCGCUUGGUUAAACAUAGUAUGAUUGGUAGUUUGAUGGGAUUCAUUAUAUAUUGAUGGUAUGAUUUUCUGAUUCAUCUCCAAUGGUUUUGGUUAAGAAUAAAGGUUAAUUUAAAGGUUUGAUUACCAUUAGAUACUUUCCUGGGUGUUUUUUGAUCCGGAUUAAGUAUAAAUGGUUGUUUUUGAAUUCAUGUUUAUUGAUUUUUCUUUAGUUAGUCUUGUUUUCUAGUUUUAAACUCUAUUAGAUAUGUGUUUUGUUAAUUUUAGUUCACCCCAUGGCAGUAGUCAGUUAGUUUUGGUGUUUGGAUAUGGUUGGAAGCCUGAAACCUCUUAGCUUAAAUGUAGUUAGUUGUUAGGUAACUGACGUUGAUAAGUUUAGACUGAAUUCAAGGGUAGUAUGGGUAUUUUGUAUUGGGUAGAACAUGGUAGAUAAUACUAGGAUAUUCUAUCAUUUUCUUGAAUAAGACAUUAGUGCAUAUUUUUACAAGUUAAGGAAUAGGCUUGAGGGACGAGUUAGGAAAUAAAGGAUCAACUAAUUAAAAGAAGAGGGACCUAUAGUGUAAUUAAAGGUUUUUAGGGAUGCCCUCUUUGUGCCUAUAAAAGGGCAUCAUUGAUGCCUUGAAACAAGAGUUUGGGGGGCAGCUAUAAAAUUUCCCCAAAAAUCCCUCUUCAGGCUUCAGAUUUUAGAACUAAAAUAUGAAAUUCAGUUCUUCGUUUCAGCCUCCAAAAAUUAGUUUAAUUUCAGUUCUUUGAAUUUCAUAUUUAAAACACCAGAUCUGAAGUUCUUUUUUCAUCUUAAAAAAUUUGAUUCACUGUUUCAUUAGCAUUUCUUCAAUCUAGUUUCAAAUUCUGUUUUGAAUGCCUUCAUUAUGUGUUUUAUACAUGUGUUAGUAGCAUCAAGAAGAUUUGAGUUUGUGUUGGUGAUUCUUGGUUUUUUAGUUGUAAAUGAAUUCAAGUGUGUUCGGGUAAUUGGUAUUGGAUUUGGCUUGGUUUGAGUAGAUUUCAAAAGUUCCUAGUGGAUUGAACUAGUUUCUGACUAUUCGAUUUCUGUUUUCUGUUCGUAGUCUGCUGCUGUUGACUGACCUUGCUUCCUCUUCAUUCCUCAACUUACAGGUACACUUAUGUACAUAUCUUGCAAUUGGAAUGAAAUGAAGAGUGCUUCCCGUUGACUGCUUCAUAGUUGAAUUAAUGUUGUAGUUUCAAUUGAUUUUAUAUGAGCUCUAUUGUAGCGUAAGCUUACAGAACUAGGACAUUGAUGGUUUUCUUGGAAAUUACUAUCGAGUUAUAGGGACUGUGAACUAGAACGUUGGUUUUGAUUUGUUUAAACCUGAACCUUAUAACUUUCAUUUGAACUUUUGGGCUGACUGUAACUAAAUAAGGAUAGAAACAUGUCAGAUUUUUAUAUUAUUGUUACUUCCAGCUUACUAUGCAAUUAAAAGUAAUCGAUUUCAAGCCAGAUUGCAAGGAGUUUCGUGAGUGAACACUGUUUGGUUCAUGUGAGUAAUAUGGUAUAAUAUUGACACCAUGUUUAAUUAGUUAUAAGAAUUUGGAACUAAAAAGGUUGAUAUAUUUCUAUUUUUUAAUCACGAAUCAAUCCAAUUAACUUGAUAUUGGAGGGUUCAAUGCAAUUUAAUAAGUACAACCACUGAGAUUCGAACCCAGUUUCUUGGUAUUCUGUACAUUCGGAUUCAGUGUUAGUUAGGCCAAAUAAUUGUCGUCAUCUGUUUGAUAUAUCAGAUCCCUAUGUAUGUAAAUUGGAAGGCCAAGUCCACCAUACACAUUUGGCAAUUGGACUUGGCGAAACGUUGCUGGAUUCGAUUCCACUGUCUCCCUACGCAGAUGGUUAGUUUUUGGAUUGAGAUAGAUUUCAGGCCCAGUUUCGAAGUCCUUUUGCCUGAUACGCUUGAAUGGGCUUUCUGCGGGUUUAUCGGCAAUUGAUCCAUUGAUUGUAAUUUGAUGUGUGUCUUUGAGUUAGGUAGUGGAUUUUAAAAUAAAAGGUUCGUCCUUUUGUUUGGACAUGUACAUUAACUUAAGGCCCAAAUUUUGAAUAUGAUUAAUGAGGACUUUCUUUUCAUUAUUA
This 2951-nucleotide long non-coding RNA is filed under the name Nicotiana benthamiana. Its description in RNAcentral is "long non-coding RNA (NBEN_LNC011924)". The record is from RNAcentral. Lineage: Eukaryota; Viridiplantae; Streptophyta; Magnoliopsida; Solanales; Solanaceae.